GCCAAGUACAUGGGACAGUGUUCCCGGUGGUUUUGAAAAUUACCGGCGGCUUAUGCCGACGGGGUCUGAAAAUUCCGGCUGAACUAGUUUUUAUCCGGAGAGACAAAGUAAUCAGUAUUCGUAACGAUAUACUGUUAAUAAAUGUGUUGAAAAGUC
Haliotis rubra (blacklip abalone) is the source of this 156-nucleotide long non-coding RNA. RefSeq lists it as uncharacterized. NCBI's taxonomy places the organism in Eukaryota, Metazoa, Mollusca, Gastropoda, Lepetellida, Haliotidae. The record is from RefSeq and is a predicted model, not a curated record. The transcript is spliced from 3 exons.